Molecule: transfer RNA, 73 nt
Filed under: Anaerolineales bacterium
Lineage: Bacteria; Bacillati; Chloroflexota; Anaerolineae; Anaerolineales
Description: tRNA-Arg
Rfam family: tRNA
About the family: Transfer RNA (tRNA) molecules are approximately 80 nucleotides in length. Their secondary structure includes four short double-helical elements and three loops (D, anti-codon, and T loops). Further hydrogen bonds mediate the characteristic L-shaped molecular structure. tRNAs have two regions of fundamental functional importance: the anti-codon, which is responsible for specific mRNA codon recognition, and the 3' end, to which the tRNAs corresponding amino acid is attached (by aminoacyl-tRNA synthetases). tRNAs cope with the degeneracy of the genetic code in two manners: having more than one tRNA (with a specific anti-codon) for a particular amino acid; and 'wobble' base-pairing, i.e. permitting non-standard base-pairing at the 3rd anti-codon position.
Source: RNAcentral
GCCCUCGUAGCUCAAUGGACAGAGCGUCUGCCUUCUAAGCAGCAGGUUGCAGGUUCGAUUCCUGCCGGGGGCA